UACGUAGGGUGCAAGCGUUAAUCGGAAUUACUGGGCGUAAAGCGUGCGCAGGCGGUGAUGUAAGACAGUUGUGAAAUCCCCGGGCUCAACCUGGGAACUGCAUUUGUGACUGCAUGGCUAGAGUUUGUCAGAGGGGGGUGGAAUUCCACGUGUAGCAGUGAAAUGCGUAGAUAUCAGGAGGAACACCGGUGGCGAAGGCGGCCCUCUGGACGGUGACUGACGCUGAGACGCGAAAGCGUGGGGAGCAAACAGG
RNAcentral lists this ribosomal RNA (253 nucleotides) under uncultured bacterium. Its description in RNAcentral is "partial 16S ribosomal RNA". It matches the Rfam family "Bacterial small subunit ribosomal RNA", at positions 524 to 776 of the family's 1533-position model. The record is from RNAcentral.